Molecule: ribosomal RNA, 397 nt
Filed under: uncultured bacterium
Lineage: Bacteria
Description: bacterial SSU rRNA
Rfam family: Bacterial small subunit ribosomal RNA
Source: RNAcentral
GAGCGCCGUAGCAAUACGGAGCGGCAGACGGGAGAGUAACACGUGGGAACGUACCUUUCGGUUCGGAAUAACUCAGGGAAACUUGAGCUAAUACCGGAUACGCCCGCAAGGGGAAAGAUUUAUUGCCGAAAGAUCGGCCCGCGUCCGAUUAGCUAGUUGGUGGGGUAAUGGCCCACCAAGGCGACGAUCGGUAGCUGGUCUGAGAGGAUGAUCAGCCUCACUGGGACUGAGACACGGCCCAGACUCCUACGGGAGGCAGCAGUGGGGAAUAUUGGACAAUGGGCGCAAGCCUGAUCCAGCCAUGCCGCGUGGGUGAUGAAGGCCUUAGGGUUGUAAAGCUCUUUCGCCCGCGACGAUGAUGACGGUAGCGGGAGAAGAAGCCCCGGCUAACUUCGUG